UAACAAGGUCUCCGUUGGUGAACCAGCGGAGGGAUCAUUACAGAGUAUCUACUCGCCCAACCCGUGUGAACGUACCACAGUUGCCUCGGCGGCCACGGACGGUAACCCGUCCCGAACCGCCGGAGGACCGUAAACUCUUGUUUAACCAGUAUUCUGAAAAAUUAGCAAAUAAGUUAAAACUUUCAACAACGGAUCUCUUGGUUCUGGCAUCGAUGAAGAACGCAGCGAAAUGCGAUAAGUAAUGUGAAUUGCAGAAUUCAGUGAAUCAUCGAAUCUUUGAACGCACAUUGCGCUCCCCAGUAUUCUGGGGAGCAUGCCUGUUCGAGCGUCAUUUCGACCCUCAAGCCUAGUCGCUUGGUGUUGGGAGCCUGCGGAAGCAGCUCCUCAAAUCCAGUGGCGGAGUCGGGUUAGCACUCUGAGCGUAGUAACUUUCAACAUCGCUUUUGAAGGCUCCCGGCCUCCGGCCGUAAAACACUAUUACAAUGGUUUGACCUCGGAUCAGGUAGGAAUACCCGCUGAACUUAAGCAUAUCAA
Molecule: ribosomal RNA, 534 nt
Filed under: Amphibambusa bambusicola
Lineage: Eukaryota; Fungi; Ascomycota; Sordariomycetes; Xylariales; Cainiaceae
Description: eukaryotic LSU rRNA
Rfam family: 5.8S ribosomal RNA (bases 178-331)
Source: RNAcentral